RNAcentral lists this ribosomal RNA (240 nucleotides) under uncultured bacterium. Its description in RNAcentral is "partial 16S ribosomal RNA". It matches the Rfam family "Bacterial small subunit ribosomal RNA", at positions 334 to 591 of the family's 1533-position model. The record is from RNAcentral.
UUGGCCUACGGGGGGCAGCAGUGGGGAAUAUUGCACAAUGGGGGAAACCCUGAUGCAGCAACGCCGCGUGAGUGAAGAAGUAUCUCGGUAUGUAAAGCUCUAUCAGCAGGGAAGAAAAUGACGGUACCUGACUAAGAAGCCCCGGCUAACUACGUGCCAGCAGCCGCGGUAAUACGUAGGGGGCAAGCGUUAUCCGGAUUUACUGGGUGUAAAGGGAGCGGAGACGGUGUGGCAAGUCUG